CUCAAAGGCAUUGAAAUUCUAGUUUGAUCCAAAUUUUGGGGGAUAUGUGACAUGUUCACCCCCCUUUUUGCAAUAUUUUAUGGUAAAUAAAUGCAGAAUGUUGCCAUGGAUACACAUAAAAGGAAUUAAUUUUCACCCUUUUAACUUUUGAAAAUCAAAUCUAUGGAAGAUACUGAUUACAUACAUAUGCACAUGUACAAC
Molecule: long non-coding RNA, 201 nt
Filed under: Mytilus galloprovincialis (Mediterranean mussel)
Lineage: Eukaryota; Metazoa; Mollusca; Bivalvia; Mytilida; Mytilidae
Source: RNAcentral